RNAcentral lists this ribosomal RNA (395 nucleotides) under uncultured Comamonadaceae bacterium. Its description in RNAcentral is "bacterial SSU rRNA". It matches the Rfam family "Bacterial small subunit ribosomal RNA", at positions 1 to 402 of the family's 1533-position model. The record is from RNAcentral. Lineage: Bacteria; Pseudomonadati; Pseudomonadota; Betaproteobacteria; Burkholderiales; Comamonadaceae.
CGACGAGUUUGAUCCUGGCUCAGAUUGAACGCUGGCGGAAUGCUUUACACAUGCAAGUCGAACGGUAGAGGGGGCAACCCCUUGAGAGUGGCGAACGGGUGAGUAAUAUAUCGGAACGUGCCCAGUCGUGGGGGAUAACGUAGUGAAAAUUACGCUAAUACCGCAUACGAUCUACGGAUGAAAGCGGGGGACUCGUAAGGGCCUCGCGCGAUUGGAGCGGCCAAUAUCAGAUUAGGUAGUUGGUGGGGUAAAGGCUCACCAAGCCAACGAUCUGUAGCUGGUCUGAGAGGACGACCAGCCACACUGGAACUGAGACACGGUCCAGACUCCGUACGGGGGCAGCAGUUGGGGAAUUUGGACAAUGGGGCGCAAGCCUGAUCCAGCAAUGCCCGCGU